AUACGGAGGAUCCGAGCGUUAUCCGGAUUUAUUGGGUUUAAAGGGUGCGCAGGCGGCCAUUUAAGUCAGCGGUUAAAUCGUGGGGCUCAACCCCAUUCUGCCGUUGAUACUGGGUGGCUUGAUUGCGGUCGAGGUUGGCGGAAUUCGUUGUGUAGCGGUGAAAUGCAUAGAUCUGACGAAGAACACCGAUUGCGUAGGCAGCUGACCAGACCGCAAAUGACGCUCAUGCACGAAAGUGCGGGGAUCGAACAGGAUUAGAUACCCUGGUAGUCCGCACAGUAAACGAUGAAUACUUGUUUUCGGCGAUAUAAUGUCGGAGGCAAAGCGAAAGCGAUAAGUAUUCCACCUGGGGAGUACGCCGGCAACGGUGAAACUCAAAGGAAUUGACGGGG
This 392-nucleotide ribosomal RNA is filed under the name uncultured bacterium. RNAcentral's name for it is "partial 16S ribosomal RNA". It matches the Rfam family "Bacterial small subunit ribosomal RNA", at positions 523 to 918 of the family's 1533-position model. The record is from RNAcentral.